Nycticebus coucang (slow loris) is the source of this 106-nucleotide small nuclear RNA. The record is from RefSeq and is a predicted model, not a curated record. NCBI's taxonomy places the organism in Eukaryota, Metazoa, Chordata, Mammalia, Primates, Lorisidae.
GUGCUCACUUUGGCAGCACAUACACUAAAAUUGAAACGAUACAGGGAAGAUUAGCAUGGCGCUAUGCAAGGAUGACACACAAAUUUGUGAAGCAUUUCAUAUAUAU